CAGUAGCCACGGUAAUACGUAGGUGGCAAGCGUUGUCCGGAAUUAUUGGGCGUAAAGGGCUCGCAGGCGGUUUCUUAAGUCUGAUGUGAAAGCCCCCGGCUCAACCGGGGAGGGUCAUUGGAAACUGGGAAACUUGAGCGCAGAAGAGGAGAGUGGAAUUCCACGUGUAGCGGUGAAAUGCGUAGAGAUGUGGAGGAACACCAGUGGCGAAGGCGACUCUCUGGUCUGUAACUGACGCUGAGGAGCGAAAGCGUGGGGAGCGAACAGGAUUAGAUACCCGCGUAGUCCCUGUCUCUUAUAC
This 301-nucleotide ribosomal RNA is filed under the name uncultured bacterium. RNAcentral's name for it is "partial 16S ribosomal RNA". It matches the Rfam family "Bacterial small subunit ribosomal RNA", at positions 509 to 807 of the family's 1533-position model. The record is from RNAcentral.